Molecule: ribosomal RNA, 253 nt
Filed under: uncultured bacterium
Lineage: Bacteria
Description: partial 16S ribosomal RNA
Rfam family: Bacterial small subunit ribosomal RNA
Source: RNAcentral
UACAGAGGGUGCAAGCGUUAAUCGGAAUUACUGGGCGUAAAGCGCGCGUAGGUGGUUUGGUAAGUUGGAUGUGAAAGCCCCGGGCUCAACCUGGGAACUGCAUCCAAAACUGCCAAGCUAGAGUACGGUAGAGGGUGGUGGAAUUUCCAGUGUAGCGGUGAAAUGCGUAGAUAUUGGGAGGAACACCAGUGGCGAAGGCGACCACCUGGACUGAUACUGACACUGAGGUGCGAAAGCGUGGGGAGCAAACAGG